GUCUACGGCCAUGCCACCCUGAACAUGCCCGAUCUCGUCUCAUCUUGGAAGCUAAACUGGGUUGGGCCUGGUUAGUACUUGGAUGGGAGACCACCUAGGAAGAUCAGGUGCUGUAGGCA
This 119-nucleotide ribosomal RNA is filed under the name Pteropus alecto (black flying fox). Lineage: Eukaryota; Metazoa; Chordata; Mammalia; Chiroptera; Pteropodidae. The record is from RNAcentral. RNAcentral also lists the same sequence under 1 other name.